Molecule: ribosomal RNA, 418 nt
Filed under: uncultured bacterium
Lineage: Bacteria
Description: bacterial SSU rRNA
Rfam family: Bacterial small subunit ribosomal RNA
Source: RNAcentral
GACGAACGCUGGCGGCGUGCUUAACACAUGCAAGUCGAGCGGAAAGGCCUCUUCGGGGGUACUCGAGCGGCGAACGGGUGAGUAACACGUGAGCAACCUGCCCUGGACUUUGGGAUAACCCUCGGAAACGGGGGCUAAUACCGAAUAUUACUGCCGGCCGCAUGGUUGGUGGUGGAAAGUUUUUCGGUCUGGGAUGGGCUCGCGGCCUAUCAGCUUGUUGGUGGGGUGAUGGCCUACCAAGGCGACGACGGGUAGCCGGCCUGAGAGGGCGACCGGCCACACUGGGACUGAGACACGGCCCAGACUCCUACGGGAGGCAGCAGUGGGGAAUAUUGCACAAUGGGCGGAAGCCUGAUGCAGCGACGCCGCGUGAGGGAUGACGGCCUCGGUUGUAACCGUACUUCUAGCAGGGACGAAG